This is an RNA transcript of Ostrinia furnacalis (Asian corn borer), 1610 nucleotides long. RefSeq lists it as uncharacterized. The transcript is spliced from 7 exons. The record is from RefSeq and is a predicted model, not a curated record. NCBI's taxonomy places the organism in Eukaryota, Metazoa, Arthropoda, Insecta, Lepidoptera, Crambidae.
UUGACUUUGUAUCCGCAGAAACCGCGUGCGCUCGCCUCCGACGUAAACACCAUGAGCCGUUAUUUGACAAUAAUAAAUCUUGUAAUAAUGCUGAGUGCCUUUGUGAUACAAGGAGACGAACGUGCCAGAGAUACAGAAAAUGGAAACAAAACGAUUAGCAACUUCACCGACAAGGACCUACCUGAAGUAGAGCUGAUGUUAUUGGAUAGGGUAGUAUUGAGAAGACUAGCGUCAGUCGAGAAUUAUGGCCGAAAAAGCUCUAAGCCAAAGCCCAAACCCAAACCUAAACCUAAACCAAAGCAAAAUUCAACUAUUUCAACCACCACCCCAUCAACAUCGUCAUCAUCAUCAACUUCAUCUGGAAGACCUUGUACGUGCGCGCUCGGUGUCUGCAAGUGCUGUACUGGAUUGAUUUUGGACCUUUUCAACCAGAAAGCGUGUAUGAAGAUCACUUAUCACCCGGGAGACUUCGCUUUCGAUGUCGCUAUGUCUAUGAACGACAGGAUUCUUUAUGAAAAUUCCAUGUCAGGUAAAAAUCCGAAACCAAUAUGUAUAAGCCCACCCAGGUUAUCGAACUUGAAAGUGUGUGCGAGAUUCUACAAUGUGUUUUUUCCUGGAAGGAACUUUCACUUUUGUUUAGCAAUGACUGGCCAGUGGCGAUCGAUUCAACUGUUUGACAUGGCUUUCGACUGCCUGAGAAUGGGUGCUAACGGCAUUGCUAUGAUGAAACCUGAAGAUGCUGGUGGUAUUGUCAUUCCGAAUCCACAGGGAGGAGUGGAUGCAGUCAUUGACGCUGGAGAGGAUGACAUUGAAGAUUACGAUGAAAACCUAGUCAAGUCUUUUUUCGGCAUUUUUGAUGAUUGACGAAGAAAAUGUACUUAGUAAUUCGAAAGCAUCCUUACUAUUAUUAACUUAUUUUAAAUUAUUCUAACUUAUGAUAAUAUAUGCUAGCAUUGUUAUUUAUUACACAAUCGUUUUGUGAACCUUUCUAUGUUUUUACUUAAUUAACUAUUCUAUGUAAGUGUUAAGUUACAUAUGCAUGUAUGCGUAAAACAACGUCCAAUGUGAAAUAAAGAUGGCCAUUACUACAGAGUCGCGCCAGUAUCGAUCCGAUGCGCCUGAGUUUCUCUCUAGAAAGUCCCGCAAGACAGUUGCGCUCGCACAUAACUUGCAUACAAAUGUUUAUAUACGAACCUUUGCCAGUGCUUACGUAGGUUAACGAGGUGCUAUCAUUUGUAUGGUGUCCCCAGAGGUAGAAGCAAUCGAGGUUUAACACACAAAAUGAAAAUGAAAUUGAUUUAUUUGUGUUUGGUGAUGUGCGGUGCCGUCGUCAGUGCAGGCUCAAAGUCGUCAAAACGAAAUGAUCUCAAGAAGAGCCCAAGAAAUGAAAACGUCAUGGACGUCGAAGACUUCUCAGUUUACUACGACAUCGAAACCAACGAGAUGAUCAAAGACAUCAUGCCUCGACCCUGGUACAAGCCUGGGUGGAUGUUGAGGCUGCCGUUCACAGGAGGCAGGUGCAACUGUGAGGGUCUGCAAUGCACUUGCUGCACCGGCAUCCGAAUCCAGGCCUUCAAGUUUGACAGGAGAACAUGUGCCGUGUUGACCUA